GACGAACGCUGGCGGCGUGCCUAAUACAUGCAAGUUGAGCGCUGAAGGUUGGUACUUGUACCAACUGGAUGAGCAGCGAACGGGUGAGUAACGCGUGGGGAAUCUGCCUUUGAGCGGGGGACAACAUUUGGAAACGAAUGCUAAUACCGCAUAAAAACUUUAAACACAAGUUUUAAGUUUGAAAGAUGCAAUUGCAUCACUCAAAGAUGAUCCCGCGUUGUAUUAGCUAGUUGGUGAGGUAAAGGCUCACCAAGGCGAUGAUACAUAGCCGACCUGAGAGGGUGAUCGGCAAAUUUGGGACUGGAAAACGGCCCAAACCCCUCCGGGAGGCAGCAGUAGGGAAUUUUCGGCAAGGGACGAAAGUCUGACCGAACAACGCCGCGUGAGUGAAGAAGGUUUUCGGAUCGUAAAACUCUGUUGGUGGGGAAGAACGUUGGGGAGGGGGGAAAGCUCAUCAAGUGAAGGUAACCACCCAGAAAGGGACGGCUAACUACGU
Molecule: ribosomal RNA, 496 nt
Filed under: uncultured bacterium
Lineage: Bacteria
Description: partial 16S ribosomal RNA
Rfam family: Bacterial small subunit ribosomal RNA
Source: RNAcentral